AUUAAAAUAGUUCGAAAAAUUAAUCAGGAAUAACUUUAUGUUUUGAUUUAUAUUAUUGAUAUAAAUCAAAACAUCGUGUUAUUCCUGAUUAGUUUUUCUAAUUUCUUUAUUUAGGUGUUGAGAACCUUUUGUGACCCCACAGUUUAACUGCCUUUAACAAGUACAUAGUGAGCAGCGGUUGUUACAGACAAACGUUCACAUAAUCUGCCCCA
RNAcentral lists this long non-coding RNA (212 nucleotides) under Mytilus galloprovincialis (Mediterranean mussel). The record is from RNAcentral. Lineage: Eukaryota; Metazoa; Mollusca; Bivalvia; Mytilida; Mytilidae.